UACGAAGGGGGCUAGCGUUGUUCGGAAUCACUGGGCGUAAAGGGAGCGCAGGCGGAUUUGUAAGUCAGUGGUGAAAGGCUUAAGCUUAACUUGGGAACUGCCAUUGAUACUAUAAGUCUUGAAUGUUGUUGAGGUUUGCGGAAUGGGUCAUGUAGCGGUGAAAUGCAUAGAUAUGACCCGGAACACCUAUUGCGAAGGCAGCAGGCUAAACAAAUAUUGACGCUGAGGCUCGAAAGCGUGGGGAUCAAACAGG
RNAcentral lists this ribosomal RNA (253 nucleotides) under uncultured bacterium. RNAcentral describes it as "partial 16S ribosomal RNA". It matches the Rfam family "Bacterial small subunit ribosomal RNA", at positions 524 to 776 of the family's 1533-position model. The record is from RNAcentral.